Syngnathoides biaculeatus (alligator pipefish) is the source of this 3372-nucleotide long non-coding RNA. RefSeq lists it as uncharacterized. The transcript is spliced from 3 exons. The record is from RefSeq and is a predicted model, not a curated record. Lineage: Eukaryota; Metazoa; Chordata; Actinopteri; Syngnathiformes; Syngnathidae.
UUGGUUUUGUAGCUUGGUGAGAGCUAUCGACCAUGCGAGGUCUGCAGGCAACUUGUAGAUGGAAAGGAAUUUGCCACAGAUCCCACACAAUGACUGACUUCACAUUUUUAAAUGUAUUAUUGUUAGACACUGUCAGCAAUUGCCUUAGAACAGUUCAGGAAGGAAAUUUGCCUCUCUUUAACUGUAUCAUUCUUCAAAGAAGAGAAGAAUCUCAAAUCCUACCAGACUCCACUGACUCCUGGCUCAUGCUGGUGUGAAAUCCUCUUCAACCAAGAUUAGCAGCUCUGGAGAAGAAUAGAAGAGGAACCAUUCAUCAAAUAAAAAUAAAAAGAGUUGCUUGGCCAGCACAUUGAGGAAGGGUGAGCCUUGCCCACAAGGGAGGGCCCGAGUCAGCAAGCCUGUCCAACGGGGGAACGCAACCAGGAGGAAGCCACCGACCGCCCAGGAUACAGGGAGGUUCCAAGCCUGGCCGAAACGCUCCGACUCGUCCCAAGGGGAGGCGCACGGCCACCGGACCACCGCCCCCUCCCCCACCAAGUAAGCCCCACCGCUAACACCAACCUUAUCCCUCCCAGAGUGCUUGGGGCCCCCAGCACGAAGAUGUGCCCGCGCCCAAUGGCGGCAGACAAAAGCAUGGCCUAACCCUAAUAAAAUCAAUGACCAGCCACCCAAGUAUCCGUAAUAAGUUGUUUAUUCAAUUAUAAAACAAAUCACUUCCAUCAGUGGAGGGAAUAAAUUAAUGGUGCAACUUCUUAAAGGUCAAGUGUCAUCCCCAUAAACAUUGUAAAAUAGAUAUUGUAAUGAAAAAUACAUAUAACAUUAUUCACUUCUAUGUCUAUUCGAAAAAAUAAAUAUGAGCCGAGAGCGCGUCAUCCAUGCGCAAAGUUGCGGAAAUCUCAUUCGACAUCCAAGUGGUCGCCAUAUUGGCUGCAUCUUCUGUCCGAUCGAAAACACGCGGUGCCACCUACUAUGCCCCCCCCCCCCCACUUUACACACAGAAGUUCUUUUCGAAGAAACAAACAACUAACAACCGAGUGAAGUGACCGGGGCAAUAUUAGCCUAUCGUUUCGAGCCAUAUUUAGAUGAUAUGCGGAUCACGGCCAAACCGCCUCCCCGUCCGAUCCACCUCCGUGUGGCGGUGAUAAAAACAACCCCGCCCGCGAGCGACCACAACGCCAUGGCCAAACCCCCGCGGCAGAGAUGAGCCACGGUUGCUAGGCGCCACGAUGAGCCACACCAGCUCAGCGCCGGAAUGAGCCACCCCGGACCGAAGCCGUGACCGCGGUGGAUGAAGCACGGCUUCGGCAGCGGCUCGUCCGAAGCUGUGCUCUGCGCCGACGGGUACAUCGACAUAUUUAGCAACCCUUACUUAGGUGCGCGGAUCUUUUAUUACAUUCUCAGAGGAUUAGGCCCCCCGUCAAACUAUUAUUUUUUUUUAGUAGCAGUAUACACACCUAUCUGUCAUUUGGAACCCACGAAGCUCUCGCCCUUUGCACCCGUGCAAUCCAUUUUUCACGACGAACCUGGUCUUUUUGAAAAGUAUGAAGAAUUAAUCCAUCCUCCCGAGUCUUCGAGCAAUAUCCAGCAAUACAACGAGCCGGCAUUUUGGCUAACACGAAGGAACAACGAGCUACCUUCCUGGAGGUAAAACUAGUGUAAACAGACGAGACUUCUUGAAUGUGCUAAUGCCCUGUAUGUUACUUCCUGCUUCUUCUCGAAAACAAAUCCCUCAAGAGGAUUUUCAUGGUGGGAGUUACAAAAAGGCAUAUAGCUCAAAAUCAUGUUUUAUGGUGAAAAAAUGGAUGGGUCCAUACCGGCUGCCGUUUUUUCAUUAAUAACAUACUAAAAAUCAUGCAUUUCAUGACAGUGGCCCUUUAAAUAAGUUAGUAAUGAAAGACGUUGGACGGAGAAAAACAUUUUAAACUUUUAAUGGAAUAUCUCUGAAUUUCUGUUUUAAAAUAUAAUCUGAUGAAUGAGCGAACCACAUCUAAAACACAUUUUAACAUCAACAUCACUUUUCUGUUUGAUUUACGACUGAAAUCUGUAUACUAUCCUUACUUCAUGGCCAUCAACUGUGACUCAUUACCCAAAUUAAAAUCCCCUAAAAAAAACAUUCAGUGAGUGGAAAGACCAUCCACAAGAAGUGCCGUAUCUCUUUGAUCAAAGUCGAUUUUGUCAAAUAAUAAUGUGCAAAACAAUAACAAUCAAGAGCAUGGUAAGUGAAUCACGUAAAUCAAAUAUUUGUCUACUCUUACCACACCGCUCUUGACUUCUGUUUAGCAACCGAUAAUUCUUACAGGACCUUCAUGGUACUCUCAAAAAUGGACAGCAUGAUUUCUUUGUUUCAGUCUUUGAGUGUUACCACAACGACGUUUUUUAUGUAUGAAUUAUAACAUUCUGCCAGUUAGCAAGUAGCAACAAUCCACUCUUCCUUUAUUCAACUUGAACCACCUGACUAGAGCAUCAAAAUAGGUUUAAUUAAUGCAUGUAAAAUGAGGAUGAAUAGAAAAGUGUAGUGAAUGUUGCCAGCUACCCAAAUAAUUUGUGCAUGUAAACCUAUCACUAAAUGCUUCUUUGAGUGGCCCUUUUGUGAAAUAUAUCUUGUUUAUUUUUGUUUUACUGCCUCUAGUGUAGCCUUCUGCACCCACACACACACACACACACACACAUGCACACGCACACAAAGAGGAAGAGAAACAACUUGGCCUGUUUGAGAUACAGUAAACGGUGUACAAGAGGCAGAACCACAGUACCAGCAGCCAACCACUUUCAAUCACUCUGCACCACCUGAGACAGACCUAGCUGGAAAGAAAAAGUGCCAAUUCAACCACCCACACACACACACACACACACGCACACCCACACUCACACACUUUUUCUUUUCUUUUCUUUUUUUUUAUAACUCAAGCACUAUAAUCCUAUAAUCUAAUUCUCAUCAGCACUUCUCAUGUGAUUAAGCAUUUCUGCAGUGUUCCUAAACCUCUGAGGUCUCUGAGCAGGAAGUGCGACAUGACGAGCUCCACAAUUACAGUCAGCCACGACGUUUCUUGCACAUAAAAUGCAACCAUGAUUCUUUAUCAAUAGUCGGACGACUCCUGCGUUGUUGGACAUAAUCAAAUAAACACAUCCUCUUUUCUUUUCAUGAUCACAUACUUGUUUCCUGUUUUUAUUGUUUUUUUAAACUUGGAAACAACAUAUACCUGAUUUCCUUUUUUUCAUCUACCUGAUUUCCAAUUCAAAAACCUAUAUCUAUAUACCCAGUUAAUCUAUAUCUUGAUGAACUGGACAUUGGGAAUUCUGUCAAUUCGUUGUUGAGUAACUACAUCUUGGAGAGUAUUUGUGCACGGUGAUGUCUUUGUGAUUAAAAAUGUA